AAAUAAGUUUGAUUAAUAACUAAUCAAAAUCUUCUCAACGGCAAUCCAGCUGAAAAAUAUGGAAACGUUUGUUGGAAAAUAUGGUGUUACAAACUGCAUCUCUAGCUUGACUUCCCAGUUUUCUGAACCACUGCCUUACAUUCUGCCAAACGUGUCCCGGAUGACUGAGAUUCUUAGUGCCGUGCUCCAGCUCACACUUUCUCCGGAGAUGGCCAGAUUUCCCUGAGGCAGACAACAUGAGAAAAUUGCAGCUGAGGAGACAUAACCAGAAACAUGCUACUGAGCCUGAAGCACUGUAUUCUUUCCAGAGCUUGAAUCAAGUCCCCAUCAUCCUGUAAAUAUGCCUGAAAAGGUACUAUGCAACAGGCCACAUCCUGCACUGAAAAUGACUCUGCUUUGCACCGGUGGAUUACUUCUGCUCUUUAAACAAGUCCCCUUCAACAACACAUAUUCUCAUCUGUGCAUUUUUAAUAGAAGCAUAAUUUUUGUCGUAUGUUAUAAUGAAUAGCAUACAACUGAGCAGUGCGCAUAAGACUGUAAUUCCAUCUGGGAGUUUGUUGACAUUGAUAAACCACUCAGGUUUUGCUUUUGUGGCUCAUGCCAUUACAGCAGCUCAACAGGAUUACAGUCCUGUUAUGUACAGUUGGUCGUAGACAUUAUACCGUAUGAAAAUGACUGUAUAUUUUAUUAAAGAAAAGGUUUGAAUUUAAGUAUGAAACUGAAAAUUCUCAUCAACGGUCUGAUAAUAUGGAGUUAAAAAUGAUCUUUAUAUUAUUAGCUGAGCGCCUUGUUUAUUUUAUUUAAGAUUCCUCAUCCUAGGCAAUGAAAAUAGUUUAGUUGGAUUUAACUAUAUCUAUACUGAGGGACUGAAGAAUUUCCCUUGUAAUUUUGUGGCAUCACUACUUUUAUGGUAUAUGAAAACCAGAACAUUGAACUGCCCAUAAAGGAAAGUGAACCAGACAAGUCUAGUAAUUUCAUAGUCUAAACUGAGUUAAACAGAUACACACAAAAGCAGAUAAACAAUGAAAACUGUGGUUUCACUUUUUUUUUUUUUUCAUUCUAAAUGUUAACUGUGAUAGCAGUGGUACUCCCAGGGAUUGUUUAAAAUAUGAAAUAAAAUUUUCCUUGAAUUUGACUAUAAUUAAUAG
RNAcentral lists this long non-coding RNA (1148 nucleotides) under Anas platyrhynchos platyrhynchos (common mallard). Its description in RNAcentral is "lncRNA (ENSAPLG00000021558.1)". Lineage: Eukaryota; Metazoa; Chordata; Aves; Anseriformes; Anatidae. The record is from RNAcentral.